Molecule: ribosomal RNA, 253 nt
Filed under: uncultured bacterium
Lineage: Bacteria
Description: partial 16S ribosomal RNA
Rfam family: Bacterial small subunit ribosomal RNA
Source: RNAcentral
GACGAACCGUGCGAACGUUGUUCGGAAUCACUGGGCAUAAAGGGCGCGUAGGCGGCUUUUCAAGUCAGGGGUGAAAUCCGGCAGCUUAACUGUCGAAGUGCCUUUGAUACUGGGAAGCUCGAGGGAGGUAGGGGUGUGUGGAACUUCCGGUGGAGCGGUGAAAUGCGUAGAGAUGCGGAGGAACACCGAUGGCGAAGGCAGCCCCCUGGGUCGACACUGACGCUCAGGCACGAAAGCGUGGGGAGCAAACAGG